AAGAUUAAGCCAUGCAUGUCUAAGUAUAAGCAAUUUAUACAGUGAAACUGCGAAUGGCUCAUUAAAUCAGUUAUCGUUUAUUUGAAGAUAAUAACCAUUAGGAUAACCGUGGUAAUUCUAGAGCUAAUACUUGCUUCUAGGCUUUAUUAGAUAUGAAUCACAAUAACUUCAGAUCGUUCUGACGCUUCAUUCAAAUUUCUGCCCUAUCAGCUAGAUGGCAAGGUAU
Molecule: ribosomal RNA, 226 nt
Filed under: uncultured fungus
Lineage: Eukaryota; Fungi
Description: partial 18S ribosomal RNA
Rfam family: Eukaryotic small subunit ribosomal RNA
Source: RNAcentral